GGAAGUCUCUCUUCAAUGCCUACUCUUUCCUUUUUUUUUUAUGGAAAUUUUCUGGGUAUUGAAUGGUUGAUUGAAGAAUUUAAUUGUUUGGUAUUGGUCAAUUUGCAAAUUCAUUCGAACCUAAUGGUUAAUUUAAGCUAAUACUGCGGAGGUAGCAUUAUCGUUAUAAUGUUGAAAUCAUGGCUUUUGUGGUUUUGUUGUGUUGAAGCUAAUGGUUGAUUAGAGCAAAGUGUUGGAUUUCACUGUUGAAGUUGUUGAUAAUAUUGCGUUUUGUGUAGCCGUGUGCGUCUAAAUGUUGGCUUGAUGGUUCUGUCUUUGGUGGAGUCGAGAUGGUGGCUACGAUUGAUGGUGGUUCUGCUUGUUUGUGUAGCCGGUGACAUUGUUAAGCACUGCCCUUCUCUCUUUUCUUGUUUUUUGGUUUGGAGAAGGCACUGUUCUCCUCAUUUUCAAAUCCCCAACUUGUUAUUGCUAUUGUUCUUGUUGUUGCUGCUGCAACUGAUGCAGUUGAUGCUGCUGUUUCUGAUAAUGAAUUUGGAGCCGUUGAAACUGCUAUAUGGUUAAAAGAGUAUGCAUCGCAUGAUUUCACUAGUUUUGUGAGACUGUAUCUCCUUGUUGAAUGUAAUUCCCUCAUCUCAUAAGUUUCAAUUAGCUUAUUGGAAUUGAAAUUUUGUAACUUGUGGGCAUGAAUUUAUGAACAUUGGAAUUGAAAUUGUGGAACUUGUGAUGAGACAGAAGUAGAUAAGGGGAAAGAGAGAAAUGGGGAGAGAUAAACAGUUAAAAAGGGAGAUAAAGAGAAAUGUUUCUUCUCUUCUUGUACUAACGAGACUAACAGUAAAU
Molecule: unclassified non-coding RNA, 837 nt
Filed under: Hevea brasiliensis (rubber tree)
Lineage: Eukaryota; Viridiplantae; Streptophyta; Magnoliopsida; Malpighiales; Euphorbiaceae
Source: RNAcentral